GCGAAUGCAGCCAAAGUGGUUCUCGUUCAGGCUCAGGAGUUGUUGGCGUGCAGUGCUGGGAUGCCAGACGCCGUAGGGUGCUGCAACUCGGAUACGGCUGUCGACUGCUUUGCAUUCCUGACGAGAGCCGGCCAACGGCAGUUACCCCUGGCUCAAGAGGGUUGCCGGGAAGGUAGCUUCUCGGUUUACCGGGAAGAACUUAUAGCCGGCAACCUGGCAGUCUGGGAGUGACUGAGGAGUGCUGUGACUUUUCACACCCGCAGUACAGGCUCCCUAGGGGCCGGGUCCCUUCUGUCUGUGUGGGCAACGCCACAGGGACUGCGUGCAGUGUCUGCGGACGGAUGUGUGCUCAGGUGGGAGGUCGGCCACGUCUUGUGCUGUAGUCGUUGGUACCUGGAUGGCUUCAUUCGA
RNAcentral lists this ribosomal RNA (411 nucleotides) under Astrosclera willeyana. Its description in RNAcentral is "partial 28S large subunit ribosomal RNA". The record is from RNAcentral. Lineage: Eukaryota; Metazoa; Porifera; Demospongiae; Agelasida; Astroscleridae.